UACGUAGGGGGCUAGCGUUGUCCGGAAUCAUUGGGCGUAAAGAGCGUGUAGGCGGUCCGGUAAGUCCGCUGUGAAAGUCGGGGGCUCAACCCUCGAAUGCCGGUGGAUACUGUCGGGCUAGAGUGCGGAAGAGGCGAGUGGAAUUCCUGGUGUAGCGGUGAAAUGCGCAGAUAUCAGGAGGAACACCCGUGGCGAAGGCGGCUUUCUAGGAUAUACCUGACACUGAGAAGCGACAGCUAGGGGAGCAAACAGG
RNAcentral lists this ribosomal RNA (253 nucleotides) under uncultured bacterium. RNAcentral describes it as "partial 16S ribosomal RNA". It matches the Rfam family "Bacterial small subunit ribosomal RNA", at positions 524 to 776 of the family's 1533-position model. The record is from RNAcentral.